This 398-nucleotide ribosomal RNA is filed under the name uncultured bacterium. RNAcentral's name for it is "partial 16S ribosomal RNA". It matches the Rfam family "Bacterial small subunit ribosomal RNA", at positions 360 to 776 of the family's 1533-position model. The record is from RNAcentral.
AAUGUUGCACAAUGGGCGAAAGCCUGAUGCAGCGACGCCGCGUGAGUGAAGAAGGUCUNCGGAUCNUNAAGCUCUGUCCUAAGGGNCGAAACGGACGGUACCUUAGGAGGAAGCCCCGGCUAACUACGUGCCAGCAGCCGCGGUAAUACGUAGGGGGCGAGCGUUAUCCGGAAUUAUUGGGCGUAAAGGGUGCGUAGGCGGCCUUUUAAGUCAGAUGUGAAAGGCUACGGCUUAACCGUAGUUAGCAUUUGAAACUAAAAGGCUUGAGUGCAGGAGAGGAGAGUGGAAUUCCUAGUGUAGCGGUGAAAUGCGUAGAUAUUAGGAGGAACACCAGUGGCGAAGGCGACUCUCUGGACUGCAACUGACGCUGAGGCACGAAAGCGUGGGGAGCGAACAGG